ACGAGUGUCUUAUCAAGAAGGUGGAUUGAUGUUUGGACAUGGAUAACCAGUCUACAGUUUGAUGAUAAUUUGAUUUAUUCUGAGAAGAAGAUGGAAAAAGAUCAGUUUGAAAAUUUUGUAGAAAAAGUGUUUCUUCACUUUACUAAUUCAAGCAUAAAAAGUUUCUCUCUUUUGUUAACUUGUUAUCAAUAUGACGCAUCCCUGAUAAAUGCAUGGAUCUCUUUUAUCUUGGAACGAAGAGUUCAGAAGCUUCAUAUUCAGUAUGUGGAUAAAGUUUUCCUUUCUUCAAAUUCACUCUUUAGCUGCAAUUCUCUAGUAGAAUUGGUUCUUCAAGGGAGAUGUAAUCUUAGUUUUCCUACAUCUGUUUGUCUUCCAAAUCUUCAAAACAUUAGCAUUUAUGGGAUUAAGUUAGUGAGUGAUUCCUCUAAUUAUUCAAAAGAUAUAACUCUUAGUUUCCCAGUUCUCAAAGUGUUUGAAGCUAGAGGGUGUGAGUGGUCAACCAUGCACAACAUUAGUUUACAAGUACCUCUUCUUGAGAGGUUUUCCUUAACAAUAUGGAACCAUCAUUCAAAUGAAUCAUAUAAAGAUUCCAUCAAGGUUAAUAGUCUGCAACUAACCGAUUUCUAUUAUGAGGGUGAUCUCGAACAAGACAUCAUUCUAAAUGAUUUGUCAUCGAUUCAUAAUGCUUCUGUUGUGCUUGUUAUUGAUGAAGACAAAAAGGACAGAAUAAAAAAAGUUGGGUUUCAAACACAUAUGCUUCUUAGGCAAAUCUGUGAAGUGGAACGACUGAAAUUAUUGUUUUACAAGGUAUGAUUGGCUUUCAUGCUACAUGAAUGAUAAUAGUAUUGCAUAACAAAAACUUGUUUUGUGAUAAUGUAGCUAUGUGUGUUUUCAAAAUGCUUUUCCUACUCUUGGAUGCAGGUGUAAACCUGUAAAAUAUAUACUAAUUUAAUUGAAUGGAUAUUAGAUCAAGUUUGAAAAUCAUGUAUUCAUGACUAAUGUACUCAGUUAAAGGUUUUAAAAUAAGGUACACAAUUGCGAUCGGUGCUGCUACAUCAAGAUUUUUUAUGUAUCUUUGCUUUAAGGUGAUUGCGACUGAGGCUACAUUAGUGGAACUUGAUUGUAAUUAUUUGCAAUAUCAAGAAUCGCAACGCAACUGCAAUUUAAAACCUUGAUCACUUCUGUUUUGUCUAUUUCUCUAGGACAACUCAACUCAUUGACUUUUGUUAAGCUCAUUCCUUUGCUACAAAGGUUUAUAUAAUCUAGACAUAUAAACUUUAAUAUUGGAUGUUUUACUAAUUAGGUUCAUAUAAUCUAAAAAAGUAACACUUAUUUUCGCCUUCGAUCCUAUUUUCCAUCUAGAAUGCAAAUUGAAAAAGAAACUCAAAAUUUAAAUAAGUUUGUCCUUGUCCUACAGGUUUUAAGGCAUGCUAAUGAUAUUUUCACCAAUCUGCCUACCUUUAAAAGGUUGACUUAUCUGCAUUUAAAUGAGGUCACUGGUGAAGCUUUGUUGCAGUUACUCCACAAUUCACCAAUUCUUCAUACUCUUGGUUUACUUAAUGUAAGUUUAGGUACUCUUGCUUUUAUUAUAUGUAUAUAUUAUAAAAUAAUUUAAAUGCUAGAUAACUCAUGAUUCACCAAAAUUUCAGGGAGUAUCAGAUUUAAAUAAAGAUGUCUUAACUUCUGCAAUGGUGCCUAAAUGCUUUUUGUCAAGCUUCAAAGUGUUUCAGUUUAAAGGUUUUAAUGCAAACGAGCAUGAUCUUUCUCUAGUAAAAUUUGUGAUGGAAAAUGCAGCAAUCAUGGAGAAGAUGACCAUAUAUCUUGCUUUUUGGUUGCGAUAUACAGAUAUAAACAAGGAAAGAGUUAAAGAGGAGAUAUUGUCCUUACCAAAGUGUUCUAGCUUUUGCAUUACAGAAAUUUCUGAUAUUAGUAGUUCCUGAAGAUUUCCCAAUAGAAUUAUCUGUUUAAGGUAUCUAGUUUUAGUGUAUUGCUUUACUACAUUAUAACAAAGCAAAAUAUAAGAGGUUUCUAUUAGAAUAUAAUUUAUAAUGUUACCGUAUCUUGUUUAAUAUUGAAAUGAUAAGUUUACUAAUAAUUGAAUUGUAUUUUGUUGAAAAUGGUACGUAGUUCUAGGGGUAGCAACUCUCUAAUCUUGAAUCAUAAUAGAAAUGUAUUCUAGUUGAUCUGCACUUGGGGACGAAAGUACAAUUGGUCUAACUUCAUGAUCAAACAUAUACACUUAUGUCAUGUCAGACGCUACACAUCAUGCAAUUCAAAUUCUAAUUGAGACAAUAUAUAACUUUGUAUCAGUAUUCUUACUUCUAAGCAUUUUAAAUUCUUCAAUGAACCUAGCUAUUGAUAGGGUAUAUUUGAUUGGAGAGAUACAUUUGACGUAAGUUGUUUUCACCAAAACGAGAGAAGUAUUGUUAUGAGUAGUAUCGAAUGCCGAUAUUCUUAAGAUAUGUAUCUUACGAGUAUCAUAAUAAUUUUUCUAAAAUAUUUUAUGAUAUGUUACAAAUACAAUAUAAUACUGCGAGAUUUGACUUUAAUGAGAGAGGAUAUUAAAAUAUGCAUGGGAUACAUACACAAUUUUUUAAAAGUUAAAAUAAUUACAUUUUACAAUUAUAGAUUAAAAUAAAAGUUCAAACACAUCUUUUAAUACAAUUUUAAUAUUAGAUUUUACAUUGCGAGUAUUUUUACAAACAAACUCUAAGAAAACUCUAAAUUUGUGUUUUGACCACAAGCAUUACUUUUUGUAAAUUGGGAUCAUUUUAAUUAUAUAUCAACGAUGUGAUCAAUUUUUUUUUUUUAAAUAUUCAACAUGUAUAUAACUUUAUUUUAUAAAAAAAUUUGUUUAAAUUAUCUAAGUCGCAUCCUAUUCUAAAUUUCAAAAAAAAAUCGUAUCAACAUAUUUUACUGUAUUUCACUUGUAAUUGUAUCCUAGAAUCAUAUAUCGCCAAAUUAGCAUAUUGCUAUUUGUGAUGCUAGCUAACUGUUUAUCAGACUAAUUUGGAUAUUCCUAAAUUCUUUUUUGUAAUGCAAGAAAUUAGGCUCUCUGACUUUGGAGAAAUAAAAAUUAGGAAUCCAGAAAGUAUUUUAUUUAGCACCAGUCACAUUUAAUAAAAGGAAUUUGGUUAAGCUGUCAAAACUAGCAUAACUUACAAUAAUGUAUCUUCACAUAUUCUACACACUCUUGGAAAAAAAACUACAUAGUUGAUAGGACAAUGUUUUGAAUCUUCUCUGCAAAUUGAAAUUAUAUAUCAUUUUUCCAUAUUACUCUAAGCAUAGUUGUGACAUCAAUUUUCAUUUGUCACACUAUUGACUUUAGAGGCUCUCUCCUUUCAUGUCUUUUGAAAACAGACUCUUUAGAGAAAUAGUAAUGUUUGCAUAUUGCUCAUACCAAACUAUAUUCAUUUGUUUCUACAGGAAACAAUUAUAGGAAGCAGAUUAACCAAAUUUCAUCAACCUGAAAAUUUAUCAUAUAAUCAUAAAACAUUAUACAUCAAUUAUCGAGAGUUAUUUUCCAUUUAGAUUCUUACCUUUGCCUUUGUAUCUUUCGAGAACUGAGAAACAUAUAUUCAUGAUAUAUAUCUCAUGUAGAUAUAUUAUAAUUUGUAUCUAUAAUUACAUCCAGUUGAGCCCUUUUUGCUAUUAACCAUAGUUAGUCAUUGGAUAAACUUUGCUUAAAUAAAUUCAUUGUGAUCACCAGUUUUUUUUUUUUGUUGCUAUUUUCACAUAUUCAACUAUUAC
This 3750-nucleotide long non-coding RNA is filed under the name Cicer arietinum (chickpea). RNAcentral describes it as "long non-coding RNA (CARI_LNC000233)". Lineage: Eukaryota; Viridiplantae; Streptophyta; Magnoliopsida; Fabales; Fabaceae. The record is from RNAcentral.